This 66-nucleotide transfer RNA is filed under the name Rhabdotobothrium anterophallum. Its description in RNAcentral is "tRNA-Gly". The record is from RNAcentral. Lineage: Eukaryota; Metazoa; Platyhelminthes; Cestoda; Rhinebothriidea; Rhinebothriidae.
ACAUUACUAGUAUAAGAAUAAUUAUACUACUUUUCCAAAGUAGUGAUCUAGAUUUUAGGUGAUGUA